This 583-nucleotide ribosomal RNA is filed under the name uncultured bacterium. RNAcentral's name for it is "bacterial SSU rRNA". It matches the Rfam family "Bacterial small subunit ribosomal RNA", at positions 338 to 916 of the family's 1533-position model. The record is from RNAcentral.
CCUACGGGAGGCAGCAGUGGGGAAUUUUGGACAAUGGGCGCAAGCCUGAUCCAGCAAUGCCGCGUGAGUGAAGAAGGCCUUCGGGUUGUAAAGCUCUUUUGUCAGGGAAGAAACGGUGGAGGCUAAUAUCCUUUGCUAAUGACGGUACCUGAAGAAUAAGCACCGGCUAACUACGUGCCAGCAGCCGCGGUAAUACGUAGGGUGCAAGCGUUAAUCGGAAUUACUGGGCGUAAAGCGUGCGCAGGCGGUUUUGUAAGUUUGUCGUGAAAUCCCCGGGCUCAACCUGGGAAUGGCGAUGAAGACUGCAAGGCUAGAAUCUGGCAGAGGGGGGUAGAAUUCCACGUGUAGCAGUGAAAUGCGUAGAGAUGUGGAGGAACACCGAUGGCGAAGGCAGCCCCCUGGGUCAAGAUUGACGCUCAUGCACGAAAGCGUGGGGAGCAAACAGGAUUAGAUACCCUGGUAGUCCACGCCCUAAACGAUGUCUACUAGUUGUCGGGUUUUAAUUAACUUGGUAACGCAGCUAACGCGUGAAGUAGACCGCCUGGGGAUACGGUCGCAAGNUUAAAACUUAAGGAAUUGACGG